This 483-nucleotide ribosomal RNA is filed under the name uncultured bacterium. RNAcentral's name for it is "partial 16S ribosomal RNA". It matches the Rfam family "Bacterial small subunit ribosomal RNA", at positions 30 to 507 of the family's 1533-position model. The record is from RNAcentral.
AUUGAACGCUGGCGGCAGGCCUACCCAUGCAAGUCGCGCGGAUGAAGGGAGCUUGCUCCUGGAUUCAGCGGCGGACGGGUGAGUAAUGCCUAGGAAUCUGCCUGGUAGUGGGGGAUAACGUCCGGAAACGGGCGCUAAUACCGCAUACGUCCUGAGGGAGAAAGUGGGGGAUCUUCGGACCUCACGCUAUCAGAUGAGCCUAGGUCGGAUUAGCUAGUUGGUGGGGUAAAGGCCUACCAAGGCGACGAUCCGUAACUGGUCUGAGAGGAUGAUCAGUCACACUGGAACUGAGACACGGUCCAGACUCCUACGGGAGGCAGCAGUGGGGAAUAUUGGACAAUGGGCGAAAGCCUGAUCCAGCCAUGCCGCGUGUGUGAAGAAGGUCUUCGGAUUGUAAAGCACUUUAAGUUGGGAGGAAGGGCAGUAAGUUAAUACCUUGCUGUUUUGACGUUACCAACAGAAUAAGCACCGGCUAACUUCGUG